Molecule: ribosomal RNA, 253 nt
Filed under: uncultured bacterium
Lineage: Bacteria
Description: partial 16S ribosomal RNA
Rfam family: Bacterial small subunit ribosomal RNA
Source: RNAcentral
CACGUAGGGCGCAAGCGUUGUCCGGAAUUACUGGGCGUAAAGAGCUCGUAGGUGGUUUGUCGCGUUGUCCGUGAAAACUCACAGCUUAACUGUGGGCGUGCGGGCGAUACGGGCAGACUGGAGUACUGCAGGGGAGACUGGAAUUCCUGGUGUAGCGGUGAAAUGCGCAGAUAUCAGGAGGAACACCGGUGGCGAAGGCGGGUCUCUGGGCCGAUACUGACGCUGAGGAGCGAAAGCGUGGGGAGCGAACAGG